GUGAGUAACGCGUGAGAAUCUGCCUUCAGGAGGGGGAUAACGACUGGAAACGGUCGCUAAUACCGCAUAUGCCUACGGGUGAAAGAUUUAUCGCCUGGAGAUGAACUCGCGUCAGAUUAGCUAGUUGGUGGGGUAAGAGCCUACCAAGGCAGCGAUCGGUAGCUGGUCUGAGAGGAUGAGCAGCCACACUGGGACUGAGACACGGCCCAGACUCCUACGGGAGGCAGCAGUGGGGAAUUUUCCGCAAUGGGCGCAAGCCUGACGGAGCAACGCCGCGUGUGGGAAGAGGGCUCUUGGGCUGUCAACCACUUUUCUCAGGGAAGAAGUCCUGACGGUACCUGAGGAAUCAGCCUCGGCUAACUCCGUGCCAGCAGCCGCGGUAAUACGGAGGAGGCAAGCGUUAUCCGGAAUUAUUGGGCGUAAAGCGUCCGCAGGGGGCACUUCAAGUCUGCUGUCAAAGGUCGGAGCUUAACUCCGGUUCGGCAGUGGAAACUGGAGUGCUAGAGGGCGACAGGGGUAGAGGGAAUUCCCAGUGUAGCGGUGAAAUGCGUAGAGAUUGGGAAGAACACCGGUGGCGAAAGCGCUCUACUGGGUCGCACCUGACCCUCAGGGACGAAAGCUAAGGUAGCGAAAGGGAUUAGAUACCCCUGUAGUCUUAGCCGUAAACGAUGGAUACUAGGCGUGGUUUGUAUCGACCCAAGCCGUGCCGAAGCUAACGCGUUAAGUAUCCCGCCUGGGGAGUACGCACGCAAGUGUGAAACUCAAAGGAAUUGACGGGGGCCCGCACAAGCGGUGGAGGAUGUGGUUUAACUCGAUGCAACGCGAAGAACCUUACCAGGGCUUGACAUCCCGCGAAUCUUGCUGAAAGGUGAGAGUGCCUUCGGGAGCGCGGAGACAGGUGGUGCAUGGCUGUCGUCAGCUCGUGUCGUGAGAUGUUGGGUUAAGUCCCGCAACGAGCGCACCCGUCGUCAGUAGUUGCCAGCAUUAAGUUGAGCAGUGUAGGGAGACUUCCGGUGACAAACCGGAGGAAGGUGAGGAUGAGGUCAAGUCAGCAUGCUCCUUAUGCUCUGGGGGACACAUGUCCUUCAAUGGUGGGGACAAAGGGGAGCAAGCU
Molecule: ribosomal RNA, 1114 nt
Filed under: uncultured organism
Description: bacterial SSU rRNA
Rfam family: Bacterial small subunit ribosomal RNA
Source: RNAcentral